UACGGAGGGUGCAAACGUUGCUCGGAAUCAUUGGGCGUAAAGCGCACGUAGGCGGCUCGUUAAGUCGGAUGUGAAAUGCCUCGGCUCAACCGAGGACGUGCAUUCGAAACUGGCGAGCUUGAGUAUGGAAGAGGGUCGCGGAAUUCCCGGUGUAGAGGUGAAAUGCGUAGAGAUCUGGAGGAACACCGAUGGCGAAGGCAGCCUUCUGGGCCAACACUGACGCUCAUGCACGAAAGCGUGGGGAGCAAACAGG
This 253-nucleotide ribosomal RNA is filed under the name uncultured bacterium. RNAcentral describes it as "partial 16S ribosomal RNA". It matches the Rfam family "Bacterial small subunit ribosomal RNA", at positions 524 to 776 of the family's 1533-position model. The record is from RNAcentral.